This 468-nucleotide ribosomal RNA is filed under the name uncultured bacterium. Its description in RNAcentral is "partial 16S ribosomal RNA". It matches the Rfam family "Bacterial small subunit ribosomal RNA", at positions 28 to 507 of the family's 1533-position model. The record is from RNAcentral.
GACGAACGCUGGCGGCGUGCUUAACACAUGCAAGUCGAACGGAAAGGCCCUGCUUUUGUGGGGUGCUCGAGUGGCGAACGGGUGAGUAACACGUGAGUAACCUGCCCUUGACUUUGGGAUAACUUCAGGAAACUGGGGCUAAUACCGGAUAGGAGCUCCUGCUGCAUGGUGGGGGUUGGAAAGUUUCGGCGGUUGGGGUUGGACUCGCGGCUUAUCAGCUUGUUGGUGGGGUAGUGGCUUACCAAGGCUUUGACGGGUAGCCGGCCUGAGAGGGUGACCGGCCACAUAGGGCCUGAGGUGGCGCCCGGACUCCUACGGGAGGCAGCAGUGGGGAAUAUUGCACAAUGGGCGGAGGCCGGAUGCAGCAACGCCGCGUGCUAGAUGACGGCCGUCGGGUUGUAAACCGCGUUCGCCUGUGACGAAGCGUUAGUGACGGUAAUGGGUAAAGAAGCACCGGCUAACUACGUG